This 367-nucleotide ribosomal RNA is filed under the name uncultured bacterium. RNAcentral's name for it is "bacterial SSU rRNA". It matches the Rfam family "Bacterial small subunit ribosomal RNA", at positions 28 to 396 of the family's 1533-position model. The record is from RNAcentral.
GACGAACGCUGGCGGCGUGCUUAACACAUGCAAGUCGAGCGGUAAGGCCCUUUCGGGGGUACACGAGCGGCGAACGGGUGAGUAACACGUGGGUGACCUGCCCUCAGCUCUGGGAUAAGCCCGGGAAACUGGGUCUAAUACCGGAUAUGACUUCAUGACGCAUGUUGUGGAGUGGAAAGCCUUGUGCGGCUGAGGAUGGGCCCGCGGCCUAUCAGCUUGUUGGUGGGGUGAGGGCCUACCAAGGCGACGACGGGUAGCCGGCCUGAGGGGGCGACCGGCCACACUGGGACUGAGAUACGGCCCAGACUCCUACGGGAGGCAGCAGUGGGGAAUCUUGCGCAAUGGGCGAAAGCCUGACGCAGCGACG